This is a non-coding RNA of Pelobates cultripes (western spadefoot toad), 213 nucleotides long. The record is from the annotation of a GenBank genome assembly. Lineage: Eukaryota; Metazoa; Chordata; Amphibia; Anura; Pelobatidae.
CAGUCGCAGUUUAGAAAUUGCCCUUCAAAUUUGAGCUGGCUAGAGUGGAGUUUCAAUGAAUGUCAAUGGACGGCGUGAGUUGCAAACAAAUGGUCAUAUUGUGAAAACUAUCAGGACUAUGGCUUAGCCAUGGACAUUUUUAGCGGCAGCAGGGAUAGCUGAACGUUUUAAUAUAAGAUUUGUGUAGGUGGGCUUGAAAAUGAGGGAGUGGUG